This 418-nucleotide ribosomal RNA is filed under the name uncultured bacterium. RNAcentral describes it as "bacterial SSU rRNA". It matches the Rfam family "Bacterial small subunit ribosomal RNA", at positions 355 to 775 of the family's 1533-position model. The record is from RNAcentral.
UAAGGAAUAUUGCGCAAUGGGCGACAGCCUGACGCAGCGACGCCGCGUGGGGGAUGAAGGUCUUCGGAUUGUAAACCCCUUUCGGGAGGGAAGAUGGGACGAGCAAUCGUUCGGACGGUACCUCCAGAAGCAGCCACGGCUAACUUCGUGCCAGCAGCCGCGGUAAUACGAAGGUGGCAAGCGUUGUUCGGAUUUACUGGGCGUACAGGGAGCGUAGGCGGUUCGGUAAGCCCUCCGUGAAAUCUCCAGGCUCAACCUGGAAAGUGCAGAGGGGACUGCCGGGCUAGAGGAUGGGAGAGGAGCGCGGAAUUCCCGGUGUAGCGGUGAAAUGCGUAGAGAUCGGGAGGAAGGCCGGUGGCGAAGGCGGCGCUCUGGAACAUUUCUGACGCUGAGGCUCGAAAGCGUGGGGAGCAAACAG